Molecule: long non-coding RNA, 190 nt
Organism: Quercus lobata
Lineage: Eukaryota; Viridiplantae; Streptophyta; Magnoliopsida; Fagales; Fagaceae
Exons: 3
Source: RefSeq, a predicted model, not a curated record
ACCAUUUUACUUGGGAAUAUUGCAAGUCACCUAAAUGAAGGGACAAGGAAGAGAGUUUUGAUUAAUGCAUUUACUGUUUGUGCAUUGUGUGAUACUUUCUCGCCUGCCCGAGGAGCAGGGAUUAUGGCUCUAUGUGCCACCAGUGCUUAUUAUGACGUCACUGAGAUUGCAACUCGGAUUCUACCGAACG